RNAcentral lists this long non-coding RNA (317 nucleotides) under Crocodylus porosus (Australian saltwater crocodile). Its description in RNAcentral is "lncRNA (ENSCPRG00005013356.1)". The record is from RNAcentral. Lineage: Eukaryota; Metazoa; Chordata; Crocodylia; Crocodylidae.
CCUUUUCCUAUUCUACCUUUAGGGAGCUCUCUACUGUAGCAGAUACUGAAUUGUACCAGAUCAGUGAUCCAUUUAGUCUAGGAUCCUGUCUUUGGGUGUUGUAGGUGGGAACAGCACUGAGGAGGUUUGAAAGUUCUCCCUCCUGACUCUACCUCAAGGACCUGGCUGGGCACAAAACAAGGAGUCAAGAUACCUCAAGCAAAGUCAGAUUAUCCUUUGAAACUGUGAACAAACCCUGCCUGACAACACAAAGGAAUUUUCCCAUGGAUCAGCUAAAGCUGACUCACAUGAAAGACUUGCCCGAAGUGGUCAUGCCC